RNAcentral lists this ribosomal RNA (200 nucleotides) under uncultured bacterium. Its description in RNAcentral is "partial 16S ribosomal RNA". It matches the Rfam family "Bacterial small subunit ribosomal RNA", at positions 524 to 723 of the family's 1533-position model. The record is from RNAcentral.
UACGAAGGGUGCAAGCGUUAAUCGGAAUUACUGGGCGUAAAGCGUGCGUAGGCGGCGCGUUAAGCCUGAUGUGAAAGCCCUGGGCUCAACCUGGGAAUGGCAUCGGGGACUGGCGGGCUAGAGUUUGGGAGAGGGUGGUGGAAUUCCCGGUGUAGCGGUGAAAUGCGUAGAGAUCGGGAGGAACAUCUGUGGCGAAGGCG